UCUUAGAAAUCUAGAACCCUCUAAGACUGAAUCUGUAAGGAGACAAAAACCUGAAAGCCCAAUAAGAAGAAAGAAAAUUGAAGCAAUCAAAUUCUCCCCAAAAAACAAAAGCCCAGACCAGAUAGUAGUAAGUUCUUCUAAAUCUUCAAAGACAGAGUUUCAAGAUUUUUAAACUGCUCAUCUAGAUGAAGAAGUGAAAUACGAUGGAGGAAGUGGUUCAGUGUUAACUGCAACUUGGAUAAGGUUGUUAAGCCCCAUUGCUUCUGACUUGUAGUACUUAAAACUUCUAUAUGAGGAGGGGGUUUCUGCUGCCGAGUGAGGGAUUUUUAAUUACUUCAGACUGAGGGCACCUGGCCGCCACAGCUUCCACAGUCAGUGAGUGUUUCUAAAGAGCUGACUCCUGCGCUGGACUCAGGAACUGGAACAAAAGAUUAAUUAUGCACACCUGGUGCUGCCCAUUUGCUCACAGACUCCAACAAGUUUCACUGGAUGUGUUAAUGUGGGUGCCCUCCCCACUUUCUCUCAGCUCCUUGAGCAUCCUUAUUCUCGUUUCAUAGAAUAAACUUAAGUUUUAA
Molecule: long non-coding RNA, 575 nt
Organism: Talpa occidentalis (Iberian mole)
Lineage: Eukaryota; Metazoa; Chordata; Mammalia; Eulipotyphla; Talpidae
Exons: 3
Source: RefSeq, a predicted model, not a curated record